GUGGUCAAGCUAAUUAGGGCUAAUGGUGGAUACCUAGGCACGCAGAGGCGAUGAAGGACGUGGCUACCGACGAAACGUUCCGGGGAGCUGGAAGCAAGCGAUGAGCCGGAAAUGUCCGAAUAGGGCAACCUUGAAUACAACCUACUGAAUAUAUAGGUAGGAAUGAGCGAACCAGGCGAACUGAAACAUCUCAGUAGCCAGAGGAAAAGAAAACAAAAGUGAUUCCCUAAGUAGUGGUGAGCGAACGGGGAGAAGCCUAAACCAUAUUGCUUGCAAUAUGGGGUAGUGGGACAGUGACAUGGACUCCAUAGAUUAGAUGAAGCAGCGAAAUACUGCACCAGAGAAGGUGAAAGUCCUGUAGUCGAAAAUUGAUUGGAUACUAACUGAAUCCCGAGUAGCUAGGGGCACGUGAAAUCCCUAGUGAAUCAGCGAGGACCAUCUCGUAAGGCUAAAUACUACUGCGUGACCGAUAGCGAAAAGUACCGCGAGGGAAAGGUGAAAAGAACCCCGGAAGGGGAGUGAAAUAGAACAUGAAACCAUUAGCCUACAAGCAGUUGAAGCACGAUUAAACGUGUGACAGCGUGCCUGUUGAAGAAUGAGCCGGCGACUUAUAGGUACUGGUAGGUUAAGGCGGGAAUGCCGGAGCCAAAGGGAAACCGAGUCUGAAUAGGGCGUUAAUCAGUAUUUAUAGACCCGAACCCGGGUGAUCUAACCAUGUCCAGGAUGAAGCUUGGGUAACACCAAGUGGAGGUCCGAACCGACUGAUGUUGAAAAAUCAGCGGAUGAGGUGUGGUUAGGGGUGAAAUGCCAA
RNAcentral lists this ribosomal RNA (811 nucleotides) under Richelia sp. SL_2_1. RNAcentral's name for it is "partial 23S ribosomal RNA". It matches the Rfam family "Bacterial large subunit ribosomal RNA", at positions 1 to 832 of the family's 2925-position model. Lineage: Bacteria; Bacillati; Cyanobacteriota; Cyanophyceae; Nostocales; Nostocaceae. The record is from RNAcentral.